This 467-nucleotide ribosomal RNA is filed under the name Sphaerodactylus sp. 1 AMD-2013. RNAcentral's name for it is "partial 12S ribosomal RNA". It matches the Rfam family "Bacterial small subunit ribosomal RNA", at positions 926 to 1520 of the family's 1533-position model. The record is from RNAcentral. Lineage: Eukaryota; Metazoa; Chordata; Lepidosauria; Squamata; Sphaerodactylidae.
GUACUGGAAGAGCACUUGGAUUAGAGACCCUACUAUGUACUGGAGAGUGCACUUGGAGUAUAGAGGCUACUAUGUGAUGGAAAAUGCCCUUGGAUAAGAGAAACCUUCUCUCGCAGCACACAGCCUAUAUAGCGCCGUCGUCAGUUCGCCUCCUGAGAGCCACGCAGCGAGCGAAACACUCCAACCACUAACACGUCAGGUCAAGGUGUAGCUCACGAGAAGGGAGAGAUGGGCUACAUUCUCACCACACCUGAGCACACCAACAGCAACAUGAAACUUUUAGCCAAAAGGUGGAUUUAGCAGUAAAUCGAACAAGACAUGCUCGUUUGAACCCCGCCCCGAGACGCGUACACACCGCCCGUCACCCUCAUCAAAACAAUGCCACCACACCAAACCCUCUUUACCAAACCAACCCCGCCUAGAUGAGAUAAGUCGUAACAUGGUAAGUGUACUGGAAAGUGCACUUG